RNAcentral lists this long non-coding RNA (32712 nucleotides) under Brassica napus (rape). RNAcentral describes it as "long non-coding RNA (BNAP_LNC003521)". The record is from RNAcentral. Lineage: Eukaryota; Viridiplantae; Streptophyta; Magnoliopsida; Brassicales; Brassicaceae.
GGGUCAGACCUCCAGAAUCUCAGGUCUGGCCCUGCUGCUUCCCUUUGAAAGCUGAUGAUACCUUUACUGAUUGAAUUGCAGAACAAAAGAAGCAGAAGCUCUCUGAGAUAAGAUCUGGCCUCGAUAAUGCUGAAGCAUUGGUAUGUGUGACUCUGGAAUAUAGCAGUUUUUUCUUUAUUGUCCCUUUUAACAUUUUUUCUUAUUCACCAGAUUAGGAAAAUGGAUGUUGAGGCGAGGAGCCUUCCACCGAGCAUUAGGACCAGCCUCCUUGUUAAACUAAGAGAGUUCAAGUCCGAUCUCAACAACUUCAAAAGCGAAGUCAAGAGGAUCACAUCUGCUAACUUGAAUGCUGCUGCUCGCGACGAGCUGCUUGAAGCUGGUCUGGCUGACACAAAGACGGUAUGUAAAGAGAACUCACUAGUAUCUUUUUUGACAUCUUUUGAUUGAUCUAUGACAUUUGAGGGCAGGCUUCGGCUGAUCAAAGAGCGAGAUUGAUGAUGUCAACCGAUCGAUUGGGUCGAACCACUGACAGAAUCAAGGACAGUCGAAGAAUGAUGAUUGAGACUGAAGAGCUUGGAGUUUCUGUCCUACAAGACUUGCACAGUCAGAGACAGUCUCUCCUUCGCACUGGCGACACGGUAUGUACUCUCUUCUUCAGCACGAUUUUAUCAUGAAGAAGACUACGUUUUAUUUAUAUACUACUUGUGAUUGGUGUCUCUUUUAACCAAAAGUUAGAACUCUGAAACAUGCAGCUUAGUGGAGUAGACGAAAAUGUCGGAAAGAGCAAGAAGAUCUUGACGGGCAUGACCAGGGGGAUGAACAGGAACAAAUGGACCAUUGGAGCCAUUAUCACCGCUCUGGUCGCGGCUAUUAUCCUCAUCUUGUACUUCAAACUCACCAAGUAAUCCCUCUGUAUCUAAACUCUUUGUCGCUGAACAAAUGGUGUGUAUCUUUUAUUUAAUCCUUUUCUGGCUUUCUGUGUGAUAAGUUAUGUCUUUGCCACCUUUUGUAUUAUCACGUUCUCUUGUUUGCGUUUGCGAUUACAUUUGUGUAUUUUAAUACUGAAUGAUGCAAAUUGUUUUGUUUUAUUAUUACUAAACGCAAGCGUAAAUUACAUUUCAAACAAUUAGAGCCUAAGCCUUGAGAUUGAGAACUAGUUGUGUGUUUUUCUUUCAUUCUUGAACCUGUUAUAAUCAGCGAGCAAGCUCUCAAUAACCUUAUGUUUCAUGCUAUCCACCAAACCAGUCAAAAUCUGUAGAAACCAAAUCACAACCAAACAUUAUUUACAAAGCUGAAAUAGUGGAAAAUAUCGUUUUCGAGUUCUCAAACGCAUAUAAGAAACCGUUUCUAACCGCAUUGGCCACGCUUCUCUUAACAUCUUCGGGUACAAACGCAAGAACCGAAGGAAGGACGAAGCUUACGUUCAUCUCUAAUUGACCUUUGAGCCUUGUGUGGCUUCCGCCUCGGUCUGGGUACAAUGCUCCUUGAACUCCCAGAGUGAAAUCAGACUGUUCCAUGACCUGGCCAAGCCCUUGAAGCUCCCAUUUCAUCUGAAGGUAAACCGUUAAAAGGGAACAAAAGAGUGAGAAUCGUCAAGGGUUGUGUCUGUUUCUAUUACCAUGUUAAGCUCAAGAACUCUGGUUAUGUCUAGAGGUACAUCAGGCGGGUAAUCUUGACCGUUGGAUUUGCAUCUAAUUCGCAUGUCCACCACUGGCCUUGCAGUGAGGAAGAGGAAAUUUAUAGGUGACAUAUGAAUUCUCCAUUCUUCCUGCACAAAUAAAAUAUUGUUAGAUACCGAAUGCAUUCCCACUUACAUAAAAAGUAACACAUAUUAGCUACCUCGUUAAGCCUAUAGCUUCUAGGUUUAUCAGGAAACAUUGCUUUGAAAACCCUACACUUAUCCUCCAAAUACUCAUCGAACAACGCCUGAACUUUCCCGAAACGCGUCAAACACAUACACUGUUGUACAGUGAUGCAUAUAUAUAACUCAUUAUAGGAAAUGAGAGUGAGAAUGAGACCUGAGGAGACUCGUGCAAUUGAACAUCGGUAGAGAAUUUAGAUGAAUACUUGGAGGCUUUUACAGUUGACAACUGGCACUUGGCUCCUGGCCGUAAUGUUCUCAUCUCCGCCGCUGUAGACCUGAUUCUUCCCAGCAUUGUCGGACACGACAAAACUGUUGAGCUGACAGCCAUGUUAGUAGUCUCUCUCUAGGUUUUCAAGAUUGGAUGAUGUUUGAUCUUUCCCACAUGUUUGAAAGAUAAGGGGAUAUGUGUCUUUCGGCCUUGUAUGUAGACGUGGUAUAUCGAGGGACUAUCCACCUCAUCAACAUUUUGAAUUCUUGGCCCUCUUUGAUUUACUCCUUUAUUCACGUUUUUCUCACUAUUAAGAAGAAGACAAUCUUGUUGAACAAAUAAUUAAAAAAAAGAAGACAAUCUCUUUCUCUCUAUACUCUUUCAGUCUUUCUUCGGUUCUCUGUUAUGAAAACAGUCUCCUUUCUUUCGGCUAAAUCAGGUCAAUAACAGAAAAUUGUGUGUUUUUUUUACAGUGUUCUAAAAAUUGGUUUAGAUGACACAUUAAAAAAAGUCUAACCAUACAUUUAAUCAACAAUCUUCGUAAAAAGUAUAACUACCGCCUAACGAUUUUUUGCAUUGUUUUUCUCUCAAAAUAUUACAAUUGACAGAUUUAAUAUUCAAAUAUUAUAGUUACUCCAUAACUAAUAGCUCGACGGCAUAAAAUUGACAUGAUAUAGUCAAUAGUUUCGUCUAUUUUUAACAGUUGACUAUUAUAAUCCUAAUUUUUUUAAUUAUAAUCCUAGUUUUAUGGUGUAUAUAUAUACUAGUUGAUACAAGUUGUUUUGUUUAAUAUAAACGUAUACGCCAAACAUGGCGCAUAAAUUACAUUCAAACCAUUAAAGCUUUAGCCUUGAGAUUAAAAACUAAUGAUGUGUUCUUCUUUCAUUCUUAAACCUAUUAUAAUCAUCGAGCAAGCUCUCAAUAACCUUAUGCUUCAUAUUAUCCACCAAACCAUUUAAAACCUGCAGAAAGCAAAUAAAAACAUAAGAUAAUAUAUAAAUUUGGAAUAUAGUGUUUUGAAUUUGCAAAUGCAUUUAUUUCUAACCGCAUUGGCAACGUUUCUCCUAACAUCCUCUGGUACAAGCAUGAGAACCGUAGGAAGCACGAAGCUAACGUUCAUCUCUAGUCGACCUUUGAGCCUUGUGUGCCUUCCGCCUCGGUCUGGGUACAAUGCUCCUUGAACUCCAAGGGUGAAAUCAGAUGGCUCCAUGACCCGGUCAAGCCCUUGAAGCUCCCAUUUCAUCUGAAAAUAAACCGUUCAAAGAGAACAAAAGAGUGAGGUAUUUAGACUUUUUAGUACUUCCUCCAUUCAACGAAGAUAUAAAUCUUGGAUAUUUCACACAAUUUAAAUAUAAAUUUACAAUUCUAAAAUAUUUUUUUAAUACCAUAAUUUAAAAAAAAUCAAUUUAUUUCAACAGUAUUGUCUUAAUCAAUAUGAUCAGUAAAUAAAGGUAAACAAUUAUUCAUAAAACUUUUCUCUUUCUGAAACAAUUAAAAAUGUCAAAACUUGUAUUUUUGUGGAAAGGAGUGAGUACCAUGUUAAGCUCAAGGACUUUGGUUAUGUCUAGAGGUACAUCAGGCGGGUAAUCCUGACCGGUGGAUUUGCAUCGGAUCCGCAUGACCACCACUGGCCACGCAGUGAGGAAGAGAAAUUUUAUUGGCAACAUUUGGAUUCUCCAUUCUUCCUGCACAAGUAAAUCAUGUCGGUCUUUUCGUUAGAGUAACCAAAGAAUGCAACCCAGAGCCGUGCCUGACUAGAGGCUGAUCAAGCACUUGCUUGAGGCCAAAACGUAGAUAAAUAGUUUUAUGGGCCAAUUUCUUGGCAAGAGUUGUCUACAGAACAGUUGGUAAUAGUCUGUAUUAUUACUCUAGGGUCCCGGGUUCAAUCACGAGUAUAGCAGUUUGACCUUUUUUCCAAAAAAUUUAUAGUUUAUGGGGCAAAUUUUUUUUAGUGCUUUAGGACCCACAAUAUUCAGGCAUGGCCCUGAAUUGCAACCCCACACUUAUAAAAAUGGAACAUGGAUGUUACCUCGUUAAGCCUAUAGCUUUUGGGUUUAUCAGGAAACAUUGCUUUGAAAACCCUCGACUUAUCCUCCAAAUACUCAUCGAACAACGCCUGAAGUUUCAAAGCAUUACAACACAAACAGUUUUACACUGAUGCAUACAUAUAUAACAUUAUAGAGAUUGAAAGUGAGAAAGAGAUACCAGAGGAGACUCGUGCAGUUGAACAUCGGUAGUUAUUUUAGAUGAAUAUUUGGAGGGUUUUACGGGUGACAACUGACACUUAACUCCCCACCGUAUUGUUCUCAUCUCCACCGCCACCGACCGGCGUCUUCCGAACAUCUUCGGGCAUGACAAAACCAUUGAGCUUACAGCCAUUUUACCAGUCUUUCUCUCUCUUUUUUGGUCUUCAAGAUUGGAUGAUAUUUGAUCUUUCCCACUUUUCUCUCUCUCUAUAUUUAUAUAUAUCUUCAGAGGAAAGAUUGCGUCUUUGCUUCUCUUUAAUACGUUUAGAGACCUUUGUUAAAGAAAAUAGAGACAGAGAGUAACAUUCUCACGGUACGCAUUUGGAAGAUAGUGGAUUUCGAGAAAUAAUUGUUGAAACAUUGCUUUUCAACCUCUAUAGUAACCGGGUACAUAUUCGGUUUGGUUUAAUUGUUUCAGGUUUUGUAAGAAAUAUAAGUCCACUUCAUUUAAUUUAGUUUAGUUUGGUUUGGUUUAGUUAAGAGGUUACCCAUUUAUUUUGCCAUCUACGUGGUGAUAAUGUAAAGCCUCGUCUGUCACGCAGUUGUUGAUGAGAGUGACACGAGAACAUUGAACGUUGAGAAUAAUCUGUAGAAUAACUUCUAUCACACGCAGAGGUUUUGAAAAAAAAAAGAAAAAGAAUUCAUUGCUUUCGAAACCGACAAACUCUCGGACCGAAUACUAAGAAACCGGUUUACUUUGGCGCCUAGGAAUAUGGGUUACUAACUUUGACUUUUAAUGUAAGCAAUAAGCAAAGAUCUCUUGUUGUUUGCAACUCUUUCAACUCUAUAAUCUUUGUUUUUCAGACUGGCUAAGUAAAUUAAAACAUUAAAAUCUUAUAUAGUAUGUUACGAUGACUGUUCAUAAACGAUUUGUUCAUGUUGGAUUGAGAAACUAUACAUGGUUGAGCAUUGACAUUAAAAUUCGGCUUUAGUAGAUAACUUGUGUAAUCUUCUCUCGUUCUUGAACCUGCUAUAAUCAGCGAGCAAGCUCCCAUUAACCUUAUGCUUCAUAUUCUCCACUAAACCUGUCAAAACCUGUAAAUGGGUCCAAAUCAGAUCAUGUGUAAAUCAUAAGAGAUAGUCAAAUAAGGUUUUACAUACCGCACUGGCCAAGUUUCUCCUAACGUCUUCAGGUACCAAUUCAAGAACCGGGGGAAGAACAAAGCUUAUGUUCAUCUCUAGCUGACCUCUGAGCCUUGUGUGCUUUCCUCUCCGGUCUGGGUACAAUGCUCCUUUGACUCCCAAACUGAAGUCAGACGGUUGCAUCACUCGGUCAAGCCCUUUAAGUUGCCAUCUCGUCUGAAAAGAAGCAUUUAAGAGUUUGAGUAAUGGAAGAUGAAGAAACGAAGAGAGAGAAAAGUUAUUACCAUGUUGAGCUCAACAACUUUGGUUAUGUCUAAAGGUACGUCUGCCGGGUAAUCCUGACCGUUGGAUUUGCAACUUAAACGCAUAUCGACCACAGGCCACACAGUGAGGAAGAGGAAAUUAAUUGGUAACAUCUGAAUCCUCCACUCUUCCUGCAAAAAUUCAAUUUAUCCAAGUAGACUUAAAAUAGUGAAAAAGGGGGCGUUCCGAGAAUUGAACUCGGGACCUCUCGCACCCUAAGCGAGAAUCAUACCACUAGACCAAACGCCCGUUUUGAACGUGUUUUAUAUAUAACUAAUGUUAGUCAUAUUAGUUGACGUACCUCGUUAAGCUUAUGGCUUCUGGGUUUGUCAGGGAACAUGGCUUCGAAAACUCUCGAUUUAUCCUCUAAAUAGUCAUCAAACAACGCCUAAAAGUUCCUCAAAAUCACAUUUAAGAAACGCACCAAAACAGUUUAAACUGAAUCGUGUUAUAGAGGGAGAGAGAGAAGGAGACCUGAGGAGACUCGUGGAGAGGAAUAUCUGUGGAGAGUCUUGACGAAUACGUGGCAGGUUUUAUGGAUGAUACCUGACACCUAACUCUCCACCGUGUAAUUGGUCUCAUCUCCGUCUUCACCGGUCGGUAAGUUCCGAACAUGGGCGAUGACAAAACCGCCAUUUCACCGAUUAUCUUUUCAAUAUCAGAACUUUUAUAUAUUCCACAUUUCUCUUUUGAUUUCUCUCUGAAAGUUAAAAACUUUUGAAAGAACUUUUAGAUUUCUCUAGAGGAGUGAAGUUGCUUUUUGCUAGAGAUUUUGGAGGGAUAAGGGGAUAUCUGUCUUUCGGCCUUCUAUGUCGACGUGGCAUAUUUUGAGACUAGCCACAUCAUCAACAUUUGGAAUUCGUAGGGCCCUUCUUUUCUUUGUACUCCUUUCGGACUUUUCCUUUCCGUUAGUGGAUGAGAAUGACACGAGACGAAACUAAAAAAAAAAAAAACUCAAAUGUAUUAUCUGACGACAAAGGAAGGUUCGACAAACUAAACUCAAUCCUUAUUUUACAUUAGUUCCACUGUACAUGUUCUGUCAUAUUAAAAGAUCAAGAAUAUUCAAAUCCUACGAGCAACGCAUUAUAUUGUCGGAUGAAUUUCCUUGAAAGUGUAUGGUUUGAAAUUUCAGGACUGUAGAGGGCACACAGAUGAUCCUCCUAAAGAAUGUAGAUAUCAAACCUUAAGUUCUGUGAUUUGUUCUUCGAUUUCUUGCUUAUAAAAGCAAACUAAAAUGAAAUGUGGAACGUAAAUGCCACAAUUGAUUCACGGCUUCGUUGAGCUCACUUCACUCUCUUUGUUAAAACUCAAAUACAUCUCGAUCUUCUUAGUUCCAACAACCAAAGAGGAUACAAAAGACAAUCUUUCACGGUUUAUUUCUAACAUUAGUAAGAAAAGGACUCGUCUCUUUCUCUCUUAAUUCCUUCACGGUUAAAACCUCAAGUCAAACCGUCAACACACUUAUGGGCCUUAUCCAUUUCCUAACUGGGCCUUAAUUUUAAUUUUAAUUUCUAGUCCAAUCGGUAAUCGCUUCGAUCUGUCGGUAGACAGAAUAGAAUAAUGGUUUCGCCGGUUAAACCAGUCGGCAAUCGGUACGAUCAGAUUGCAUAAAAGCAAAUCAUAAUAAGUCACGUGGCACAGUUUACACGGUUCGUAGACUCGUAGUGGUCGCCAUGUAAACAGCGGGAAAACAGGGCCCCACACAUAUUAACUAAGGAGUAGGACCAACAAAAUCAUCACCACGAAACGCAGCGUUUCCCCUUCGUCUCCGCGUUUAAAAUCUUCUUUCACCCUUUCGUCAUUUCGUCAGAUCCAAGAGAGAGAGAGAGAAAUCAGAAAAAGAUCUUGAAACGAUGCCGUACUACACCAGAGACGAGGAUGAAGUCGACGAUUUCGACGAGUUCGAUCCGACGCCGUACAGUGGAGGCUACGACAUCACCGUGAUCUACGGCCGUCCGAUCCCUCCUUGCGACGACACUUGCUACCCUCUCUCCUCCGCAGCGGAUGAAGAUUUCGAGUACGAGAGACCUGAAUUCACCUCGUACCACGAUCCUUCCGCCUACGCCGAAGAAGCUCUCAACCCCGAGUACAGCAGCUACUCCCGCCCCAAGCCCCGUCCCGGUUUUCGACCCGGUUCUGCCGGAGGCGGUCACGUCCAAGGUGAGCGACCCGAUCAGAGUUACGGAUCCGGUUACGGUGGUCAGACGGAGGCUGAGUACGGUAGGAGACCUGAAUCGGGGUACGGCGGAGCCACGGAGACGGAGUAUGGCCGGAGACCUGAGCAGAGUUACGGAUCUGGUGGAUACGGUGGCAGAUCGGAGGUUGAGUCUGGUGGCUAUGGUGGUAGAUCAGAGGUUGAAUCUGGUGGAUACGGUGGAAGAUCGGAGUCUGGUGGCUAUGGUGGAAGAACGGAGGUUGAGUAUGGCCGGAGACCUGAAUCUGGAUAUGGUGGGAGAUCGGAGACGGAGACCGGGUACGGAUCCGGGUAUGAGAAGAAACCGAGCUUCGGUGAAGAGAGGAGCGAGUAUGAGCGCAAGCCUAGCUAUGGAAGGUCUGAGGAUCAAGAGGAAGGAGGUUACAGGAAGCCUAGCUAUGGGAGAUCUGAGGAUCAGGUUGAGAGCUACAUAAAGCCCAGCAGCUACGGGAGGUCUGAGGAAGAGGAAGAAGGAGGCUAUAGGAAGCCUAGCUAUGGAAGGUCUGAGGAACAGGAGGAAGGGAGUUACAGGAAGCCUAGCUAUGGCCGUCGUAAUGAUGAUGAUGAUGAUGAGGAGCGCAGGAACCGUUCCGGUGAUGAUGAGGAAGGGAGCUAUGGCCGCAAGAAAUAUGUAAGUUCAAUAAGUUAAUUAUAUAAAGUUAUAGUCAAUUUGCAUCUAGAUUAUUGUGUGGAAAUUAAGUUUAUUGAUUGUUUAAACAUAAAACCCUUUUGUUGAUGGACUGAUCUCAACAUUGAAACUAAAGAUUAUAGUUUUGGUGAUAACAUCCAUUACCCCCUUUAACUUCAUUCGUUCAGUAUUUGAUUUAACAUUGACAUCUUGUAGGUUAUAACAAUCAUAGUACAGAACUUGCAUUGUGUUUUUUGCGUCUCGUUUGUUUUGAAAAUAAGUUUUAGUUUGGUUUUGAUCACAGUGUAGCGGUGUAACUCUGUUUUCACAUCCUGAAAUGGAGUUCCUUAAUUUGAAAGCUAUGUUCUACAAUCCCAUAAUAACGUUCCUGGUUCAAUGUUUGUUUGAAUAUAGACAUCUUGAAUAUGUCCCAUUGUUGAUCUUAGUGUAGAGUAGUCUCCAUGUUGAACUAAAGUGUUUGUCUUUCAUACCCUGUAACUCUGUUUUCACAUCCUGUAAUGGAUUAGCCUCGGUUGAAAGCUAAGUUCUUUGAUUGAAAUUGCACAUCAUGUAUAUGACAUUUGAAGAUCAUAGUUACAGAGUAUCUAUCUCCAUUGUUAUGGUGACCGUUAAUAGAGGCAUCACUGACUAAAGCUUUCGCUUAACGUUAUUCAUCUCUGCAUCAAAUUCUGUAGGGUGGCAAUGACUCUGAUGAUGAUGAGGAGAAGAAGCAGCAGCGUUACAAGCAUCACCACCACCAGAGGCGUCGUGAUGAAGACGAUGACUAAAGCCCUCACUCAGUGCUGGAAUCGAGUGCUUCUACUUAGCUUCAUAUUACUAAAUAAAAAGCUAAGGCAUAUUUAUCUUUGGAUGUUGUUGUUGUGUUUGUUUGAUUCUCUCUAGAUACAGCAGAGUCUGUGUCUGGGUUUGUUUCUGGUUCAUUAUAAGACCUUGAAUUGAUAUCGGGUCAUCAUCAUGAUGUUAAACUGUUGCUACUCUGUGUUUCGUUUUUAUUUAUGGAACUUUUCUCUUUUAUGGCUUCUGUUGUUUUGGUUUUGUCGAUAUUAAUAUUAAAAAUCAAAAGUCAUUGCCGAGAAGGAAAAAUAUUUUGUGGUAAAAGCUAGAUUCGAUUUUUUAUACUGAAUAUUUUAUGAUUAAAAACAGAAAAAAGAAAAUCGGUUUUGUAAUAGGAAUGGGUUAAUCAGAUACCUAUAUGUACAUUACACAUCUUUUUGCUUCAACAUCAGAAACUUACAACCAAACAAUUCUAAAAGAAGCAAUGUCAAGCGCUACAGUCCUCGAUGAAUCUAGCGUUCCUAGCCCCAGGAGUACAUGGAGGUGAGAUUCCACUAAAUAUAUUGUUAUGUAACAUAAGAUUUUUGAUUAUAAACAUUAUUAUACUGAAACGAAUUUUCUGGUUGGUUGCAGGAUGGACGGGCAGUUACGAUACGACAUUGCGAUGAACACCAUCAUUAUAAUCCUCAUCACUGAUGCGGUCUUACAUAUGACUCUGAGAGCCCACAAGAUUCCCCUUGCUGAUAACGUUGAGGGACUUUUAUGUACAUUUGUAGUUGCGUACGUGUUUGUCAUCACGACUAAUUGCGGGUAUUGGCUUACAGCAAGCGAGGAAGAAGGGUGUUUACUUGGAAUUUACAUCACGGGACGCCUUGGUCACACGUUAGGCUUUUGUAUUUUCCUCUGUCUCCUCUAUUCUAGUUCUCACUUGGCUAUGUACGUUGCUCUACCUUGUUUACUAUGUUUGGUGCCAGCCAUGUUUGCACCGUGUUGUCCAUGUCUGUGGAGAGGAGAGUCAACUUGGUGGAAUUUUGUGAAGCAACCACAACCAACAGUAGAUAUUGUUUAACUUUUGGACUAUUAUUAUUAAUAGAAUUUUUUAAUUCCUAAUUUUGUAAACAUCUCGUCAAUUGUUUGUUCUUAACUUUUCUCUCUUGCGAUCGGUGAAUUUUGUUUCCACUGUCUACCCAUAAACCUCGUGUUGACAUGUGUUUUGCGAUCUAACAAGAUAUUAUUAUGGUUUAGGGAUUGUUUUAGACAUCAAUCCUCUUUUGAUAUGGCUGAAGAAAAUUAAGAGUUCCUAGUCUUGAUUUGUUCCUGCUUAAUGUAAUUUGGGGAAAGUGAUCAUUUAUCUUUUGGUACAUUAUCAUUGUGUGUUGCAUGCAAAGUAUCAAUCUACUUGGAACUUAACAUUGCGUUAUUUGCAUCUAGCUUGUUUGGAAAAUAAGUUUUAAUUUGGUUUAAUCCCGUUGUUGAUCACAGUGUAGUGUGAUCUCAAUGUUGAACUAAAGAUAUCUUUAGUUUGUUCUUUAGAUUCUUUAUGAGUUACUACAAGCCUUUGUCUGCUUCCCUUUGGUUACAGGCUUGUCAUUACUAGUUGUAGAUCAUCAUUGAUUUUGCAGAACAAAAGAUGCAGAAGCUGUCCCAAAUAAGGACACAAGGACAUAAGUUUGUGCUUUAGAUCCUUUAUGAGUUUAUCUUCAGUUUUUGCGUUUUAGAUCCUUUAUGAGUUAUUACAAACCUCUCGACUCUUGUAAGGACAUAAGAUCUGUGCAUUAUCUGGUUACUGGCUGUACAAAGAGCUUGUCAAUUACUAGGUGUAGAUCAUCAUUGUUUCUGUUUGUUAAGAUGCAUUGAUGACACCUUACUCAUUGAUUCCCGAAACAAAAGAAGCAUAAGCUCUCUGAAAUAAGGCGUGGCCGCAAAAAUGCUAAAGUGUUGGUAUGUAGUCUAAGGCAUAGAUCGAAUAAAGCAGCGUUUUCCUUAUUGUCCCUUUGCUUUGUACAUUUUCUUAUUCACCAGAUUAGAAAAAUGGAUCUUGAAGCCAGGAGCCUUCCACCAAGCAUUAAUUCCAGCCUCCUUGUCAAACUAAGAGAGUUUUCAAGUCUGAUCUCAACAACUUCAAAAGCGAAGUCAAGAGAUCGAUGAGGUCAGCUGAUCGAUUGGGUCGAACCACAGACAGAAUCAAGAGACUGAAGAGCUUGGCGUCUCAGUCCUCCAAGACUUGCACAGUCAGAGACAGUCUUCCUCUCCUACGCACUAACGACACGGUAUGUGCUCUCUUCAACAAUUUUCUCUUACACGGGUUUUAUCAUGAAGAAGAAUACUACGUGUGAUUGGCAUCUCUUUUAACCAAUAGCUCGUUCUCUGAUACAUACAGCUUAGUGGAGUAGACGACAAUGUAGGAAAGAGCAAGAAGACCUUGACAGGCAUGACUAGGAGGAUGAACGGGAACAAAUGGACCAUUGGAGCCAUUAUCACCGCUUUGGUCGCCGCCAUUAUCCUCAUCUUCUACUUCAAACUCACCAAGUAAGCCUCUGUAUCUAAACUCUUUGUCGCUGAACAAAUGGUGUGCUGUAAGUAGUAACAGCUGAUGACGAGGAAGAAGAUAGAAGGAAGCUAAGACUCUGAGGGACAAAGAGGCUUCUGCAGUUACAGUGAAGCUACUGUAUAAAUAAUAUUAUAGAGGGAGUGAAAGAGAGACUUUAUCGAUGUAUUAGCUCAUGCCUCAUAGUUCCAGUUGAUACUCUAUAUUGUGAGAGAGAGUGAUACAGUUGUAUUGUGUGUGUUAUGGAUCAAUAGAGAUUUGGUUCAUGACAUCUGGCUUUUAUCUGUGUGAUAAGUUAUGUCUUUGCCACCUUUUGUAUUAUCACGUUCUCUUGUUUGUGUUUGCGUUUACAGUUGUGUAUUUUUAUACUAAAUGAUGCAGAUUGUUUUGUUUAUUAUUAAAAGCAAGCUUAAAUUACAUUUUAGACAAUUAGAACUUAAGCCUUGAGAAUAAGAACUAGUUGUGUGUUUUUCUUUCAUUCUUGAACCUGUUAUAAUCAGCGAGCAAGCUAUCAAUAACCUUACGCUUCAUGCUAUCCACCAAACCAGUCAAAAUCUGUAUAAACCUGGAAUAUAGCUGGUUCAUAAUAAGACCUUGAACUGAUAUUGGGUCAUCAUCAUGUAAACAGCUGCGACUCUGUGUUUUGUUUUUGUGCUAUGAAAAUUUCUUAUUUUAAAGCAUAACUUCUAUUGUUUUUCUUUUGUCCAUAAGAAAAUUUAUUUUGUCGUUAAAACCAAUGUGACCACACAAAACCACUUAUCUAAUCUAAUCUAGAAACAAUAUGAAACAAGCUUCCUGCCAAAGACAUACACCACAGUUACAACCACCUUUGAAAUCGACAUUCCAAGUAUAAACCAUCUUGGCCACAUGCUGUGAACAGUGGUUGAUCCUUCAGCUUCCUUACGCAGCUGUGAAGGUUCCAAAGAAGAGUGCGAUGACAAGCCACAGUAAGAACCAUCUAGUAUUGAGUUUUCUCCUCAGUGUCUCCGCUUUGUUGGCUUGUGGAGUUGUGCCAAGUUGAAGUACGUCGCCACGAAACCAAUGUUGUUGAGCAGGAGAUAGACAGUGUAACAUCGCGUGUCUCUGAAACGUAUGUAGCCAUUUGAAUCGAGUCCACUAGGUGGACUUGAGAAGGAAGCCACCGUGGUUAGGCCACCGAUGGCCAACACGAACUUGGUAAGUUCUUCUCGCUCUUUGUAAAGAGCCUCCAAAGGAUCCUGAAAUAAAUAAAGCGUAUGUAGCCAUGUGAUGUGGACUUGAGAAGGAAGCCAAUGUGGUUAGGCCACCGAUGGCCAACACAAACUUGGUAAGUUAUUCUCGCUCUUUAUUAAGAGCCUCCAAAGGAUCCUACAAUAAAGUGUACAAAUUUUGUAACUCAAAUCUUUUCCUCAUUCUCAGACAUCUCUCGUAGAAGACAUACUAACCGGUUUGCCUGAGAAAUAUAAAACUAAAUGUUUAAAGUACAUGCUUCUUAUAAAAUCAAUCUACAACUAUUCAAUAAAACUUGAUUUGCUUUUAUUAAACCCAUUAAAAGCAUUUACACACUCAAUCACACAACUAUACUUAAAUGCCACGACUUUCUCUUGUUCUAAAUAACUUUACGUCUUUACAUGUGUCUCAUUUGUAGACUUUCGUUACUACAUGUAACAUUUUUUCCAUGACUUUCAUGACCCGAAAUGAAGCUUUAAAAGUUCGUGAAACUAGUUUUCAAUAUAACAGUUCAUCAACUUAUCAACACAUUUACCUUAAUAUUCUAUGUUCCAAUAAAAUAAACAAACUUACUGCGAUUAUCGACGAAAUGGAGCUGAGGUUGAGGAAAGUCCUUGAUUUCCUAUCUUCAACAAAAAUAAAAAAGUAAAGAAAUGUUUUGCUAUUACAACAGCUUAUGUAGUGAUUCAGAUAAAACAAAAAAAUAAACACAACCUUCUGAUUGAUGCCACAUGAAAAAUGAUCAAUGUCUCUAAGCUUCUCAUCCUAAACGCCUUCCCCAUACAAUUUACAAAAUUUCUUCUCCUCUACAACUUUUGUCGUUAUGCGAAGAUGGUGACCCUCUGUUCAUUAAAUCGAUUGGGCUUUUUUUUCUUUCUUUUUUAGUAUCAUGUGCUUAAAGAUCCUAUUAUAAUAUUCUAAGUACGUUUUUCAUAGACGAGACAUCCCAAAUUUUUAUCUUUACUUUUCCUACACCAAUUCAUAGCUAUUUAUAUUUUGACGCAAACUAUAUAAAAUCGGAUCAGUUUACUCAAAACCCAGUACGUGGCUAAUCGUAAAAGAUACAUAGAAGUAUUCAACAAAUCAUUUCAUAUCAUUCAUUCAUUCACCCACAAAGAGCUCUCAAAUUGGUUUCGCAACUACAAAACAUCGAAUCCGUUCUUGGAUUAGGGUUUUGAGAUUGAGUCUCAUCAAUUUUUUUUGUUUCUUAUUGUAGAAAACUUUCACUUUGAGCUACAAGACAACUACUAGUGAAGGAGACCAGACAGUUCCAGAUCCGUUUCCAAAGUUGUUGGAUAAUUUAGGACCAUCUUUAGUACAUUUGUUCUUCGUCCCUGAGAAAAGAGGAGGAUCGAGUUAGGUUAAAUUUGCUACAGGUUAUGUCAAAUUGUGCGGGAGAAUGUCGGUAGUAAAAUGAACUUACUUAUGCACCUUAGUGUUUGUUAUCACACCUGAGUGUGUUGAGAUUCACAAUCUGAUUUUGAUGGAAGAAAGCGGGAAGAAACUAGUUAGCUACUUUCUUGAGAAUUCAUUUGUUCUCAAGAAACUCAUCCCGCGUUUUAGGGAUUCUUUAAUAUAUCUUACUCAGAUUUCUUCAAGGAGCUUCUUAAAUUCAGAAAGCGGUCUUGCAGUUGUCCGAUUAUUUUUCUUUGAGAAAUUGGCGAUUAGAGUUCAUUAUUUAUUUUGAUUUUGAGUAUCAUUGUGUAUGAAUUUCGUAUGGAUUGUAGAUUUUAUUAAAACCUGUUCCAUAAAGAUUUAUUUUUUGAUGGAAAAAGAGUAAACGACUUUAUAAGAUUUUGUUGCAGUUAAAAAUUAAAAGAUAAACAAAUAUAUAUUAUGUAUUUAUUUAUGAAAUAAGAAAAUUAAUUAAUACUUGAUUUGACAUUGUUAUCUUUAAGAAAUUUUAUACCUUCCAACAUGUUAAUAAAAUUGAUUACAUUAAAUAUAUCAACCGUGGCAGUUACAGCCCCCGAUUAAAGCAUUUGAUCUAGUCAGUAGAUUUCUUGGAAAUCAAGUUUCGAUUCCAUUUCAUUUGUGCAUGUUAAACGCCCUAGUAAUAGUUGUGCUGACUUCAAACAGAUCGGAGGCUUACUGAAUUUGAAUUUGGUCGACUUUGAGAAGGUGAACAAAAUUCGAUUGUGAGUUAUUUCAAAAACGUUUUUAUUGAUAAGAUGAAAAAGAGGUUACAGUGUUUGGACAUGUAAAGUAUAAAACACAAAUAUAAGUUGUUGUUUUUAACACUAGAUAAAUUACCAAUUACUAAUGAACAACUAUACAGAUAAUAAAGAGCCUACAAUACUUUGAAAUGUUCGAAGAGCUUUGCAUAUAAUAAUCUGUAAUAAACAAAACAUAAGUGUAAAAAUCUUUAAACAAUAACCAUUAAACUAUAGUGCUUAUACGAGUCGUAUUUGUUGAAAACAAAACAAGUAUGAGUCGUAUGACCUGAACAAAACAAAAUCGAAUAACAAACCGGAUCUAAUUGACCACUAACCGGAACCGGUUCAAUCGGGAAUUGACUCAAAUCCCAUUAAGCGGCGCAUCGCGAGAAAAAGAGCCAGCAACUGUUCAAAAUAUCUCAAUAGAUAGAUCAAAAAGCAAUCAUGGACACCAUCAUUCAUUAACAAAUAUCCUCUGAAACCUCCGUUUGAAUUAUUUCUAUCUUCUCACAUCGCAUCAUGGGUGCUUCAUCCUCUACAGAUAAUAAAGAAUCAUCGGAGAAGCGAGAAAUCGAAAGCCUCGCUGCUUCCACCGGUGCUCUUCCUCUGCUUCAACGAUUUUUCUCCAAGCUCGCCGAUCCUCAGACCAACACUGUUUCCUUCCAAUCAUUCAAGGUAAUAACGAUUAGGGUUCUGAUUGUUCUUAAAGAGAAUCUGGAUUUGCAGUUACAGUAGUUUUGGGAUUUGAUCGGAUCGUGAAUUAGUGUUUUGACACUGAGUUUGAUCGGAUCAUGAAUUAGGGUUUUGAGACGUUUCAUCAAUUUUUUUUUGUUUUGUUUCUUAUUGUAGAAAAGCUUCACCUUGAGCUACAAGACAACUACUUGUGAAGGAGACCAGAAAGUUCCAGAUUCGUUUCCGAGGUUGUUGGAGCAUUUAGGACCAUCUUUAGUAGAUUUGUUCUUCGUCCCUGAGAAAGGAGGAGGGUUGAGUUGGGUCGAGUUUGCUAGAGGUUAUGUCAAAUGCUGCGGAAGAAUGUCUGCCUCCAUGUCUUACAACACUCUGUUGAGAGUGUUUCAUCUGACAUCUCAAAACGCAGGCUUUUCCUCGAAGCUGGAGUUCGAAUCUGACGAAGCUGAUUGUAAGAUCAACGGGUCGGUUUCCACCGUAGAGUUGGUUAUGUUUCUGUGGAUGUGUUGGACGAUGUCGUGGGAUGGUCGAAGCAGUAGAUCCAGCGACUUGUUUCUUCCUGAUAUAAGCCACUUGGUUAUGUCAGCGCUUGUGUCUUGCACCGAGUCUGGAGCUAGUUUGGAUGUUUGGGAUUCUGAUGUUUUCGGAUUGGAGCUCGAGCUUCCUGUCGGGAAAUUCCUGACGUGGGCAUUGACGACGAUUCCAAGCCUCACUGAGUGUCUAUCUCACUUCUGCAACGCGAGGCUUCAGCAUUGUUUAAAUGCAGAGGUACUCUUUCUUUACCUGUUGCUUUUCAUUUAACCGUAUGGUGUUCACUAAAAGUGGAUUACAGGAUGGAUCUGGGCCUUCAAAGUCAGCUGGUGGAGAUGAUUCUGCGUCCAAGACAUGUGAUAACACUCUUCUAACAUGUGGAAGGGCAUGGGCGAUUUCUUUGACGUCCAAGAAUACCUUAAGUGAGGAGAUCUUGAGCUCAUGCUUUCCCUGCAAUGGCGAUGAACCCAAUGAAAAUCUUCUUUACCGGUAUCCCACUGUCCUACUUCUGUGAAGGUUCUGUCUCUAUAGUGUAACUUAACGUGUUCAAUGUUCAUCUGUCUUUCAGCUCAUACCAUCAUGGGAAAGGCAUGAAUCGAUUGUGGGACAACGUUCAAGGGUAUCAUGCUCCUAUACUAUUGCUAGUUUCUGCAAGCGGUGGAGUUGAGCAGGAGGGUAGUUCAAGCGAGAGGAAGUGGGUCAUUGGUGCUAUCUUGCAGCAAGGUUUUCAGAACAGAGAUACAUUUUACGGAAGCUCUGGGAACUUGUUCUCCAUUAGUCCUGUCUUUCACGCAUUCUCAUCUUCAGGUACUGCACACAUCAGAGAAUUUUCGUAGGCGUAGUCAGUUGUUUUGCAUUAGUGUAGUCUUAUAUGGUUUUGUGUUCAACUUCAGGGAAAGAGAAAAACUUUGCAUAUAGCCAUCUUCAUCCCUCUGGUAGAGUCUAUGACGCAAACCCAAAGCCUGUUGGAAUUGGUUUCGGGGGAACACAAGGAAACGAGAGAAUCUUCAUCGACGAAGACUUUGCUAAGAUCACAAUCCGUCAUCAUGCAGUUGAUAAAACUUACCAGCCUGGCUCUCUCUUCCCAAACCAGGUAACGCAAGUGCUGGUCUAUAUAUAUGAUUCAAGUUUUGUGGUCUUGGAUAUUUAUAACAUCUGUUGUUGCAGGGUUAUUUACCAGUAGAGGCUUUGGUGUCAGAUGUUGAAGCAUGGGCAUUAGGUGGAAAAGCAGCUAAGGAAGUUCAAGAAGCAUACAAGAAAAGAGAAGAGCUUUUCACUGACCAACGUCGAAAGGUAAGAAAAGAUCAAUAAGAUCUAUUUAUGCAAAUGCACAAAAGGACUUGCAAGUUUGACAAGUUGUUAUAUGUAUCUACAGAUUGAUUUGAAGACGUUUACGAAUUGGGAAGAUUCACCUGAGAAAAUGAUGAUGGAUAUGAUGGGGAAUCCUAAUGCUCCGGCUAGAGAAGAGAGGUAAUGAGUGAGGGGAGCAAGACUUGUUUGGUAUAUUUAUGCACAUACGUUUUCUCAAUAGAGGUUUCGUCUGUAAAGUAUAUAUUUGAAGAAACUCAUUUGCUGUUUGCGUAAGUUAUGUUUACUAUUAUCGUUGCCAAAACUCGAACCAGAGUGUUGAGUUUGAGAUUUACCCAAUAAAAAAGAGUUUUAUUUGAAGAGUUUUAUAGACGUUACAAUGAAUCAACAAGUAGAUAAUUGUGGUUUUAAGUUUCAACUAAGCAACUCUUUUCGUGUGAAAUGGUUUCCAGAGCUCUCUGCUUUCUGCUGAGAAUCAUCUCCAUCACUUUAUUCAUAGACUUGAUCUCCUCCUCUGCCUUCUUUAUCUUUCUUUCCUCCGACUCUUAUCUUCUUUCUUCUUUCUUCUUACCAAAACCAUUUUACUCUUUUCUUCAUCUCUUGCCUCACAGAUCCUACAACAAAGAAGGCCAUACCAAAACUUGGUUUUCUCUAAACCGAAUCAAUUUUAGUUAUAGUUCGGUUCAUCCUAACCCAAAAAAAAAACUAAAUGGCUUAAAAAUCGGUUAGACCUGAAUCUGGUUGCGUAAGCCUUUGGUAGAAGGUGAUGAACUUCAUAGAGAAGCUGUACAAGGGGGAUUAAAAUACUUGGUUUCUCUCCCAUUCAAGUUCCCUUACCUUUCUCUCACAUUCUUCUCUAUCCAUUCUCUAUCCAUUGUUCCUGUGUUAUUGUUAUUUUCUGGCCAUCUCAACCACCUAUGUAACUUCCCCAUCUGUUCUAGAGAAAUAGACCGAUGUAACUUCCCCAUCUGUUGAGUGGUACGGUAUUGUGCUCAAAGUCCCCUUGAAUACUAAAUUGGAAAUGUUGCUGUUGCUACGGUUUUGACGAUAGAAUAUAACUCAUAUGACAGGUUGGAAACUGAAUUAUUUUCUUUCAAACCAUGUCUUCAAAUCGAUCACAUUAGUUUUGGUUUUGCUUUUUGUUUCAAUGUUAAAUCAAUGUCCAUAAAAUUGGUUUUGUUCUUUUAUACUCUCACUAAAAAUAGCAGCAUUCUUAUUAAUAGAUGUAUACAUUGUGACAAAACUCAAUUCUAGUUAAUACAUCCUCUAUUUUUGAUGAAAAAUAUAAGUUAGAGAUGCUCUUACACAUUGAAUCCACAAGCUAAUGACCAACAAACUAGUUUAUUCAAAGUGCAUAAUUUACUAGCAAAACCUCCAUUAAAAACAGUGCUUGACAAACAUGAAUUCUCUCUUUCAAGCUCAAGAACAACGCUUAAACAAUAUAUGUAUCAGGUAGGAUUCAAAAGCUCUAAUCCGAAACAUGAAACAGAGUAUCACAAGGACAUGCAUAGGUAUUCAAAGCCUUAUCUGCUAUACUUCCUUUUAUCUGCUUUAAGUUUAUCCCUAAAAUCACACCAGUAUGUUGGCUCAUCUUGCAAAACAAGCCUCACCAGCUUCUUAUUGAGAAAAUGAAGACAUGAAUUAAACUUCAUGGUUUCUGAUCAAAAGUUGACAUCAAGAAAGAAACAAUACAAAUCUAUAUGUCCCAACCUGAAACCCAAAGCUUGAGACACAUAUCAAGAGUUAUACAUACCCAAAACUGAACAAGAGUAAACCCAAAUCAAGCGAGCAAGCAUAUCAUUGCUUCUUGUCUUCUGCUUUCCUCGGCUGCAAAAAAACAACAAACCAAACCAACACACACAAAGAUCAGUUCUCUCUUCCUCUCACAAUGAUAAAAUGUGUGAAAAGACAAACGGACCUUAACACCAGGAGCUUCUUGGUGAAUCUCUUCCUCAGGGAUGAUGACAGGCCACUGCUCCCCGGCUUCACGGAACAUCUGCUCCGUCUCGAGAUACUGCCCUUUAUCAAGAAUCAUCUUCCUGAUCGACUGAGCCGACGUGGCAGCCGCAUCGAAAGCUUCCUCGACACCAUUGACGAAAGUGACACUGAUCUGCGGUGGCUGAUCGUCGGUUCUGCGUUUCACCAGAACCUGACAGUUAGGGUUGGACUCUUUGGCCUUCCUCGCGUUGCACUGAGCCAAGAACUCGACGCAGGAGGCGAGUCUUGGGUCCAAUGUGUUGAACUCGAUCUUUACUUUUGAUAGGAACUUCAACAUCCUCUUCUCAAACCUAAAACAGUCAUUGAUAACAAAUCGUGAAGCGAGAUCUGAAGAUGAUUUCUACCAAAAUCUGAUAACCCAAUGAAAUUAAUAAGUAUACGAAAUUAAAUUGUGGGUUGAGAAGGAGAUCUCUGACUUACACAGGUCGACGGGGGCUCUCCGGCGAGAAUUGAUUUUAAGGGGAAAAUGCAGAAGAAACCGAUGCAGGUGGAAGGAAGACUGAAGAAAAGGGUUUUGGGCUUUCGACUGUGUAAAAGGACGAUAGUACCCUUAAUAUUUAUUCCCCUUUGCUUCGGUUUGGUUCGUUUUUCUGAUAGAGCCGCAGAGAAUUUUUGCAAUAAGGAUAGAUAACUAUUUUGAUUUUCUUGUAAUUGCAUUAACUUGAACUGAAGUACAAUGUUACAACGCUUAGGAAUCUAAAACAAAGCCCGAGAGAAAUAUGGGAGACACACUGCCGGCAAAGACACACCUUUCCAGAACCAUGACACUAAACAAGAGAAAUAAAGAAACUACAACAACAUAGACAACAAGAUUUUCAUCUAAAAACUUCAAUCUUUCCAUCAACACUGAUGAUAGGACCACGGCAAACCAACAUUGAAGAAAGGGAGAUAGCAAACCCCAACAGAAGUGUUAAAAACACCAGAUAAAGCACCAUUGGAAUAAAGGAUAAGGUGAUCUCUUGCUUAACCCUUGUCCCAAGGUAAUCAGAGACCCGGCGAAGCCACAAGUUCAAUACACCAUCCUACAAACAACUGUUGGAGACAACCACUCAACAAACCCAAACACUGGAAAGAGCAUGACACCUCAAAGAAACUACAAACCCCACUUCACAACCGGCAAGCGCAAAGAAGUAACCAGAACACGAACAACGCUCUGUAGCACCGGAAAAAAAAAACUGAUUUGGAGGAAGAAACAAAGCUAAUAUUGGAGCCACAAAGGAGACGACUCCCUUCCUACAGUUUCAUAAUGAAACACACCCGACAGGAAUCUGAACUUAUCAAGAAGAGGUUAGCAGCACAAAGGCAUUGCCCUCACUAGACGCCAAGAAACCCCAACCCGCAUGCGAGAACCGAGGAGAGGCCAGACCAGAACCCAACAACAUCAGAAGACUGCAUACCACCACACGAUCAGAGAACCGACGCAAAGACCAUCGAAAAGCAAACUCCACCAGAUCUACUACCACCCACAAAGAAAUAGGGAUGGCAAUAAAUAAUCUGGACCGCGGGCCUGACCCAUAAAGACUUACUGCGGGGCGGAAUCGGGCCACCUUGGUAAGCCCGCAAAAUAUAUAUGUAUUUUUUUUUUGAUAAAUGGUCAUGAAAACACACGAAGACAUUACAAAAUGAAGAUGCGAGUAUAAAUUAUACUAUCGUGAAAUUACAUCGCAGCUAUGAAUAUUACAUUUAUGUAACUUUAAAAUUUUAAAUUAUAUAUCUUCUUUGAAACGUUUGUCAUUUUUCUAUUAAUUUGGAGUAUUUCAGACCUGUGAAAAUCAUAAAUUUUAUCUUCUGUUUGGAUAUUUAAAUAAUCUGUAAAGCAUAAUUUCAUAUUAAUCUGUAAAGUAUAAUUUCAUAUCUACAAAAUCCUCUUGUAACCAACUAAACUAGAGAAGAAUUUAACAAAUAGUUGGCCCUUUAAAUACUUUAAUUAUCUAAGCCCCCAAGCACAUGCUUUACUUGCUUCCAUUCAGAGCAUCUAAAAAAAACUCUAUUUUGAAGUUUCUAAAACUCUAUAUUUGAAGUUUUAAGGUGUUUUUCUCCAAAAGCAAAACUUCAAACUUAACUUCAAAGCUAUUUGUAUUUUAUAAUAUGGUCCUAAUUUAAAUUCAUAAAACUUUUGUAUAUAACUAGCACAUAUGUAAACAUAUUACAAUAAUAUUAAUUAAUGAAAUAUUAUAUUAAAAUAUAAAAAUUUAAACAAAAUAACUUAACUAAUAUUAAACUUCAAGCAAAAUACCAUAUUAUUCCAUAAAGUGAUUUUCGUAGUGCAUAUAUGAUCUACUAGUGCAUUUUGAAUUAAAAAUAGUUUUCCUCAUUUUUAAUUUGUAGAUUAUAGAUAAUAAAUGUUGAAAUCGGGAGAUAUUAAUACUUGUAAAUACAUUAGAUCAGAACAAGAAAGUAAAAGACAAACAUAAAAUAUUUCUAAAAGACUAACUUUUAUCGAUGAUAUUAAUACUCGUGAAUAUAUUCAAUAUGAACAAGAAAGAAUUGUACGAAAAGAUAUCAUCAACAAAAACAACAACCAUCUUCAAUUACACCAAAAAACUAGACAAUAUUUGAAAUUUUGAAGGUUCCAGAUCAAACUUACCUAACUAUUAGUGUUAUUGUAUUAUUCAAAUUUGUGUAAUAGUUAUGUCUUUAUAUAAUUUUUUAAAAGUUUUUUUGUUAAGUUUCUUUUGUAUAUUUCUGUUAUAUAAAUCUAGUUUUAAAUAUUUUAAAUAUUCUUUUAACAAAAUACAAAUAAAAAUAUGAAACUUCAAAUUUGAAGUUUUGAGUAGUGAAACUUCAAAUAUAGAGUUUCACCUCUCAAAACUUCAAAUUUGAAGUUUUGAAGUUCAUUUUUAGAAAGUAAAAAGCUUUAUAUUUGAAGUUAUAGAGUGUCUUUUGUAGAUGAGCAUGGCUCUAUGUCUACUACUAUACUAUGUGAUUGUAAUUGGUUUAAGAUAUUUAAAGGUGUAUAGUGAUUCAGUUAUUGUUUAUGUAUUUAGGCAGUGCUGAAAAAUUAAUUCACGCAUGUUCAAUUUGAUGUUAGCAUUUUAAAAUCAGGUCGUAUGAAAGCAAGAUGAUCACCUAGACAAUUUUGAGUUUGACAUAACAAUAUAAUAUUUGAUAAAAUCUUUCAAACUUUGUUAAUAUGCUCACAAGUCAUAGUAUUACUAUUUGGUUGGUGGCCUAACACAUGUCUUUCGUCAUUGUGAAUAACAGUAAACAAAAUUGGUUUCUCACUUCUCUAGUUUCAAGAUAAAAUAUAGUAAUAAAUUUAAUGUUCUGGGUGGUAAAUUAUGAAAAAGAAGCAUCUCAUUAUAGAAACCUUUUUGGGUUAAGUAAAUGUUAUAAUCAUUCAAAAUUAGUUAUAAACUAGUAGAUUGCUGUCCAAAAAAAAGACUAGAUUAGGUCUAAGCAUUGCACAAGACAAAUGUAUUUAUUAUAUUAUUUAACUAACAAAUCUAUUAAAAUGCUAAUUCUACAUUGCAAAAUAAAUUGACUUCAUUAUUUUUUACAAAAAAUGUAACAAGAAUCUUCAUAUCUCACACGAACACAUGAAUUACAAGUCUACAACAGAUAUUACACCUCAGAAAUUCCAAAAGCAACCCGAUUCUCCCAUACCGGCUAAAGCGGAGGGGUCAGUACCAGUACCGGGGAACUGGGUUUCGUGACUGUUAAGCAACAGUUUCAUUAGCGAAUCAUUGUCUGUUAGAAACAGAGGAUCAGGGUAAAACAGAGGACCAGAACCGUCUUUGGACUCGAGAUGAAUGAGUCUUUUAUCUUCGGUUUCUUGGUCGGAGAAGCAGGUCACGUGAGUAGACGAACCAGGGAAGGAAUCUCGUUGAGAAGAAUCCAUCAACGAAGGUAAUCCGACCGGUUCAAUCCGGUUAACGUGUGAAUCAAGCAACAUUAAAUGGGACAUAUCAACCUUUGUACCAUCGGCACGUUUAUGGAAAACACGGCAAAUAACCCAAUCGUUCUACAUUCACACACAACAAAACAGAACACAAAAUAUCAAUUCAAUUCCACACAAAAAAAGACAAAAAAUGUCUUUGAUGUUAUUGUUACCUUAGCUGUCUGGGAGAGAUGUUGGAUAGAAUAUAUGCCUUCUAAUCGAUAUUCAUGCAUAACCCAAUUGGUUCUUACUCCUUUAGGAGCUCUUCCUUUGUAGAAAACCAGAGUCUUCUUCAUACCCACAAGUGAUUUCCCCUUGAAAAUCUCUUUAUCUUUGCCUGUGGCUUUCCAGUAACCGGCUUCAGUUGCCCGGUUUGUCCUUAAACCGGUUGGGUAUUUCCGGUCUCGCACACAAAAGAAAUACCAUUCUUUCUCCCCUAUCUUAGCUUUCCCUAUUUCACCAAAAGCCAUCACAUAUAUAUUUGUGAGUAAUAAUAAAUUACAGAACAAUAAUAACUAACAUAAAAAAGUUUAAAAAAGGUGGAAAAAGUUUAGAAAAGGCAUGAUACUUCAUGCAGUCUCAAACCAUUUGUAAAGUUUUGUGGAAUCAUGUAUAUUAAACAUAUAUAUUAUUUUUUUUUAACUUCAGAUAUAUAAAUUCAUAUUUACAGCUUUUGUUAUAGUACAAACGUUUUUUAAUUGCUGGAAAGGUUGUACACUUACUUGGUAACUCCCAAGGCUCGAUCUUGUUGAGAUCAACUUCACCAAUGGCGGUGGCAGAGAAGAAAGUGUUGAAGACCUUUUGUUUGAGAUAGUGAGUUAUGAGUUCUUCAUCAGUAGGGUGAAAUCUGAAUCCAGGUGGCAGAUCAAUUUGCUCUUCAUCUUCUACUAUUUCACCGAUUCUUGAUGCAUCGUAAUCCAUUUAUCCUAAUAAAGUUUAUUAGAAACAAUCAAAGUUAUGUAAGAGAGAAGAGAAGGGUUUUUGAAGAGAUGAAUAAAAGGGUUUUGAAGAGAGAGAGUGUGUUUUUUAAGAGAGAAGAGGAAAGGGUUUGAGCAACGAAGCUCCUCUCUAUAUACUAGUUUUCCAUCAGAGAAAUAAGGAAAUAAUAUUAUUAUUGUUGAUAUUGACCAAUAAUUGGUCAAUCUUUUGUGUAUCAAGUUCUUCUUUCAAAGUUUCAAACUAUGAGUUGUAUUGAAUUUCAAGAGUUUUUACCUACUAUAAAGAAAACUUUUAUCUUCGCUCUAAAUGAUUUAUUGUAUAUAAAUGGGUUUUCCGAUUUAAAUCUCGUACAGCCAUCAAAUCAUAUUAUAAAUCAGAAAAUGGGUGUACACACACAUUAACACAUACUAUAGUUAGUUUUCUUAGUAUGAUAGAGAAAGAGGAAGAUGCGUCGAUUGUUAGGCAACUUAAGAUGUGUAAUAUUCAAUAAUCAUUUCUCAUCAUUAAAAAUAAACCUUUCUAUUUCAAGAACUUUAAUAUUUCCAAGUUUCAAUUUGACCAGGAACACUUCACCUGUGGCUCCCUGUCCCUUUUUUGGUUAAUGUGAUAAGAACAAUCUUAUCACAUUAAAUCCUGAUGUUUUGUCCAUUCUUGAAACUAAUUAUUAGUUGCUGGAAAAAGAAUAUCAGUAGAAAACUAUGAUUAUUGGUUUGAAAACAUUUUACAUUGAAACUAUAUGAUUAUAUAAUUGAAACAUUAUAAAUUACCGCGGGUCACUAUUAUUGGUGUUGUGAUUCAGGAUAACUAUGAGAAAAGAGUUUACCAUGGUUGGAUAUAAUUUGUUUUAUUUACUUAACAAGUGUUAUCCCUCUCAUGAAAAGAUUAUGCAUGCAUGAACCUUGGAAAGUAGAUUCUUUAGUAUUAAAGGAACUCUUUUCUUUGUCCUAUUACAGUGCCUACCGUUAUAAGAAAUUAUAAUACUAGUAUGCAAGAUUUUUUAAAAAAGUUCAGUGAAAAAUUGGAAAGAAAAACGAUUUCCUUGUGAAGAUGGGUAAUGAUGAUGAAUGGAUGAGGAUUGUGAUGAUGAAAAUCUGUUAGAAUGUGAAGACAUUUUGAACAACCUCAACCUUAUCAUAUGUGAAUUAUUUGAUUUUUUUAAUGAUCGAAUCACGCGUUUGUGCAUACGAGGUUGUCAUUUGUCACUUCUACAACAUGUGCAUUUUAUUCUUUUCUAGCCAAAUUUCUUCCUCAGUAUUUUUAUUAUACUUGCUGUUUAAAUCCUUAUAUAAUCGAUGUAUUGGUAUUUUUAAUCAACUAUAGUUAUCAUAAAUUGGAAUUUGGAUCGAUACUGGAUAUAUAAUUUAUAUCUUUCUAUUGCACUCUUUUCUUUUCAACUAAUUUCCCAGACUCAAAAGAGAAAAGAUACAUAAGUUGCCAGAAAAAAAAUCAAUGUAUGUUUCACACUAAAAGAGCUAAUGACAAAAUUCAUAGUACAACAAAAAGAAUAUCAAUUCUAGAAGGCCAUAAAGCAACACUCAAGUGAUUGAUGGAACACGUGGAUUUUUCAAAUUAUGUUCCUUCUUCUCAAAAACCCGUUUAAGUUUCCUUGCCUUUUUGACCAAAUUCCCCAAUCUAUCAUUUGUCAAGUUGCUCCUCCAAAAAAUUGCUUAUACUCUUUUUAACAGAGAUGAGUAGGGUUACAUAGACAAAUUGGUUAUAUAUAUUAGGGGUGGGCAAAAAACCCAAACCGAACCGAACCGAACCAACCAAACCGAAGUUAAACCGAACCAAACCAAACCGUGCUCUUUAUGUAACCCAAUUGGUUCAUGUUUUACUCAACCCGAACGGUUUGGUUUGGUUUGGGUUUAAACCGAACCAAACCGAACCAAACCGAUAAUCCAAUAUAUAUAUAGUAAAAAUAUAUAUGAUAUAUAUAUAUGUAUUAACAUAUUGCAAAUUUUAGUUAAAGUUUCGUUUUUCAUUUUUUCAUAACUUCCAUAUCUUUAAAAAAAAUUAUAAAUACGAUUCAAAUAAUACUAUUAUAUAUAAAAUCAUGUAGCAUAAGUUUUUAUAUUCUCACUCUAUCGUUUAUGAGUUGAUUAUUUUUUAAUAAAAGUAUAAAACUAAUGCCUUCAUAUUUUAUAACCAACCCAAACUACACCGAACCAAACUAGACCAUAAUAAUGUAAACCAAACUAAAUCUAAACCAAACCGAACUGAACCGAACCGAAUUAAACCCAAACCGAACCCAACCCAAAGCUACUUUGGUUUUAAUUGGUUUGAGUUUUAUAAAACCCAAAUUACCCAAACCAAACCGAACCCAAACCGAACCCGAAACUAAACCGAAAUGCCCACCCCUAAUAUAUAUAGGGGUUAUUUGUGAAAUAACCAAAAAAGAGUAAUUAGUAUUUUUUAAUGAGAGGUUAGAAAGAAAUAGGAAGAGAAAUGAGGAAAGAGAUGGUUGUUUUGGUUAGAAAAUGAAUUUGAGGUUUUUAUGUAUAUAGGGACAUAUUUCCCUUAUAUACUUUUUGUUUUCAAAAACAAAAACCAAUAUAACUACCGCAUCAUUAUUUUUCAGUUUGUUACUGUGAAUGUUUUUGAUUUGAACGCCAUUGACUAGAUCAUGUCCAACUUCUUCAUGACCAUUAUUCCACUAUCUCUUUAUCAUGGCCUAAAACCUCGCGCAUUCAUAUCAAAAAUCUCAUUAGAAUCGAAUUGGAGAGUUUUCAAAACUCUAAUGCUUCUCCAUAUCAAACAUCUCAUUAAAAUCGCCAAAUAUUAUUCACUACUUCUUAGUUCUUACCUAUUAUGGGAGAGUUGUGAUGAUCCAUCAGUUCCCCAUAUAGAACUUCUACCGUUAUCGCUCUUCCUCGAAGUUAGAAGCGUAAAGUGUUUUAUGAUAAAAAGACAGAAAGGAAAUGGGAUGGCAAGAAACUUAUAGAAUUUUUGUUAUGAUCUAUAAUACAAUUAUUAUUACUUCGAUUUGUUUGAUUAUUUUUUACUCGUGGUUCUUUUACUAAUUGAUUAGUUAAGUUUGGCUACACUUGUUGUCUUAUAAGAUUGAUAUCGUAGAAAAGUGAGAAGCUUACAAAUCAGUUUGACGUUUUUGAUUGGGACUCGGAUAUAGUGGAUUCAGAGGAAGUGGAUGAAGAUUUCAUUGUCGACCUAAUGACUCUAUCAACUAGCAGACUUCUUUAGGAUAGGUUGGUGGCAAUUUCUGAAAUGCAACAGAGAUGAAUGCUACUUUAAGCUCAACUCAACUAAGGCAAAAGGAAGUCGAAUACAUAGGAAACAUGGUUGACGUGGUGGGUUUGGCUAACCUCACUAUGGUGACCAUGGAUAUCCUCUAGAUAGUUUUAGCUCUUGCCCGUUUCACUUUUAAGCAUUCAAGUUGCUUACUUGUUGCUUGUAAAACCUUUUCUAAAUUGCAACUGUUGGCUUUACUGUUGGCUUAAUAUAUAUGUACAAUGAGAAGGUCUAUUAAUAUUCAAUGGUGUGAGUUCUUCUACACACAUUUUCUUAGUGUGAGCCCGUCCCGUGCAUCAUAAACGUAGACCUCAUGUCGAAGUAGAACAUUCAAUUAUUUUUAUGAGAUGAGAGCAUAUAUCUACUACGAACAAAAUGCAUAUUAUUUUACUAAACAAUUGGGACGAAGAUAAUUUGUAUUAUUCGUUCCAAGUCCAACUGAGACAUUUUUUGCCAAUCAAUACAUUAUAUUAAAAUCUUCAAAUGAAGAUGAUGCAUACAAUACAAAAUUGAAAAGAUAAAUGGAAUGAUAAAAAGUUAGAAAAGAAAAGUAUAAGCCUAACAUCCAUGAGUCUCUAGCCUACUUCAAUUCUUGAAUGGAGCUAAACCAGACUUUCCAGUGGUAAAUAAAACUGAAACGUUCUUCUCGAUUAAUUGAGAUAUGUUGGCUAUUAACAAUGAUGAGUUCAUUUGCUAAGAACUUUAUGCUAUUUUUUUUUUAAUCAAAAUUUCUAAAGCUAAUCCUUUUUUCUAACACCUUUCUAAAGCUAAUCAAUCGUUUCCUUUUGUUUUAGGCUUUUAGCAGUUCUUUCCUUUUCAGGAAAUAUAAACUAAAUUCUAUAAAUCUUUUGCUACUUGGUGGUGCCAAAACCACGUGUCGCUUGAUUUUUUGAAACGGCAAGAGUUUCAUACGUAUCGCCAACCCCAACCUUCUCUUGGACACGACACAAGUAAGACGAAUUCCAAAAUAGACACGUGUUUGGAUACAAAUGGGAGUUAAUAAGUAUCAAACGCUAUUCUUAAUUAUCGUAAUUCAGUUGCUGAAAAGAACUGAUUUAGCUAAUUAAGUGGAAUUUCACUAAUUAAAGUUUGACCAGCUUCCUGAUUCGAAACAUGAGUUGCCAGUGGGAACAAACACGACUCAAAACUCCGUUACCAUGAUUCUGUGCAAGACCCAAUGGAGGAAAUGAUGGAUGCAGACUCUUCAGGAUGAUUGCAUGAACUUUGACUGACGUAGAAGUCCGGUCCACAGAGAUCCUAAGAGUUUUAAAUGUUGUUUCGAUGAGUAAUGCAUAACACUAUUAAUUAGUUUCCAAAAUUGGACUGGUUAAGGUAUUCUCAAGAUGAGUUAUAUUGGGUGCUAGUAUUGUAUAUAGGUUUAUUCAGUACGCUAUAUCUUUUUGUGGCGAUGUUUUGUCCUGAGAGAUUCUUUUAUCACUACAAGAAAACAGCUUGUUUCCUACAGACGAUUUAGUCGAAAUAAGCCAUUUCUGAUGAAUUUCGUUGGUUCUAUCUCGUCGAAAAAAAAACGUUUGAAUUUCGUCGGAUUUCUGACGCAUUUCCGACGGACAAAUUUCCGACGAAAUACCGACGAAUAAAUUUCCGACAAAAUACCAACGGAUAAAUUUCUGACGAAAUUCUGACAAAUCUUAUCCGUCGAAACUUUUGUAAACUAUUUUUAAAAUAAAAUAAAUUUUAUUUUAAAUAUAAUAUUUAAUGAAUUACGUAUAACAAAUUUUAAAAAUCAUUUAUAAUAAAUAUUUUUAAUUCUUUAUAUAUAAAUAAAAUAAAAUUUAAAAUUAGGAAAACGUUUUAACUAAAUCUUUUUUGUAAUUGAACCCAUUUCCUAGAAAUUAAAAACAUUUUAAUUAAAUCUAAAAAAAAACAAAAACUUUUUAUAGAUUGAAAAGGUUUAAAAAAAUGUGAAAAACGUUUUGAUAAUCUUUAGUAACCAGAAAAUGUUUUAUAAAUUAUAACAAACAAUAAAAACUUUUUAUAAGAACUUAAAUUUUUUUUUUUGAUGAAUUUUUUUUUUAAAGUUUAAAACGUUUUAUAAAAUCAUAAAAACGUUUUAAAACAACAAUAAUAAUAAAAACUUGAAAAUGUUAUAUAUAUAUUUAUUUAUUCUAAUAAAACUCCAAAAAUGUUUUAAAAUUUGAAAAAACAUUUUAUAAAUAACAAAAAAAAGAUUCACAAAACAACAAAUUAAAUAAACAAACUACAAAAUCACAAGCAAAACCUAUCUAAACCACAACAUAACAACAAAAUCUAACAUCUAAUUCAUAAUAUUCUUCAUCCUAACAUAAAUCCAACAUUCAAAACCUUAAAUUCACAAUUUCACAAUCAAAAAGUAACAUAAGUCAAAUGAGAAAAGGAAAGAGAUGACUUACAUAAUUUGUGAGGUGGAUUUGAGGAGUUUGAGCUUAGAAUCGUUGGAUUAGAGAGAGAGAAUCAAAGAGAAUUUGUGUAUGUUUAGAGAGAGAGAGAGGAGAAGUGAGGAAGAAGAAGGGGCUUGCGCUUUUAUAUUAAAAAUUUCUGACGGAUUGGAUUCAUCAGAAAUCCGUCAAAAUUUUUUAUUUUGACGUUUCACGAAAAAUUAGGCAGGGUUUUUCGGGGCAAAUUUCAAUUUCCGACGAAUAUACCAUUUUCGUCGGAAAUUCGCCGGAAUAUAUCAUUGUCGUCGGAAUUCGACAGAAAUAUAUUUGUCAGAAAUUUCCUACGAAUUUUGAACGAAUUAUAAUAGCCAUCGAUAAUAAAUUGAUGACUUUUAGGGUUUAAAAUCUUCAUAAUGUUUAGAAACACUUGAAAACACACAAACUAAAGAUUGCAAGAUGGAUCACCGAAAAGUAUUUGCUUAAGUGUAUAAGUGUUAACGAGAAAUAUUAGGUAUCCGUCCAUGCAUCAAUCGCAAGAAUAUAUAUAUAGCUUAAAUAAUUGAGGCAAUAUUAAUCUACAUCAUAUUUAUCACUUAAUAUAUCCGGAUGAACAUUUAUUUUGAAUAUUUCAUAUCUAAACUCAUGGUCGUCGAAAAUUCGUUGGAAAUUUGUGUCGAAUAUGCUACGAAAAUUUCGCAAUCCAUCAGAAUUUCGUCGGCAAUUUUCUAGGAAGAAAUUUGUCAAAAUUUCGUCGGACAUUUCUGACGAAUUUCCUACAGAAAUUUUUCAUUUCGUCGGAAAUCCGUCAGAAAUUUCUGAUGAAUUUCCGACGAAAACAUAAACCCCAAAUCUAUACCCUAAAUCGUGUAAUCUUCCUUGGGAGUCGUCGGUAUUUUGUCGCUUAUUUUUGAUGAAAGAAAGUUCGUCGGAAAUUCCUAAGAUAUUUCCGACAAAUGGUAAAAUUUUAUAUUUCUCGAAAUCCGUCAGAAAUUUCUCAGAAAUUUCCGACGAAUAUUUCUUCCGUCAGAAAAUGAAUAUGUUUUCUUGUAGUGUAUUGCACAUGGCCAUUUGCUAAUAAUCCAGUUUUAUGGAAUGGAUCUUGUGUGUUCACGAGGUUCAUGUGGCAGUCUUUUUCAACGAUUGGGACUUGGCUUUGUUUUAACUAGUUUUUCUAGGUGUUCCGGAUUAAUGAAAAUUCUAAGUUGGAAUUGCAGAGGACUCAGGAGUAAAUGGAUUAUUAGUUAUUUGAGAGAAAUUAGGGGGAAAUAUAAACCAGCGUUUCUAUUUUUAUCGGAAACCAAACAGCAAUUUGAUUUUGUGCAGUCUUUUUAAUUUCAUUUUGGAUAUUCUCAUCUCCAUACGGUUGAUCUUAUAGGGAGGAGUGGUGGGCUGGCUCUAUUUUAUGAUUCCACUUAUAAGGUAUAUAAACUCUUCAAGCAACAUAAUUAUAGACGUCGAGACAAAAUAUAACGGAAAAUGAAUUUUUAUUUCACUUGUUUAUGGCGAGUCAAAUCAAAAUUUUAGAGACCAGAUUUGGGAGAGGCUUACAAUAGGGAUCUUGAGGGACGAACCAUGGUUUAUUAUUGGAGACUUAAAUGAGAUUACGGGUAAUCAUGAGAAACAAGGAGGAGUUCUUAGACACGCAGAUACGUUUUUACAAUUCAAUAAUAUGAUAGAGAACUGUGGUCUGAUGGAGUUUCCAAGUCUUGGUAAUACUCUUUCUUGGAACGGAAGAAGAGCUGGACAUGUGUUAAGUGUCAACUGGAUAGGGCAUUGGCAAACAAUGAAUGGCAUAAUCUGUUUCCUUGCUCUUUUGUUGAAUACUUGGGUAUGAUUGCCUCUGAUCACAGGCCGAUUGUGGCAUCAAUAGAGGAUAAAGUACUAAACUUUUGACGGUAAUUUAGAUUUGAUAAAAGAUGGAUAGGUGAGGAUGGACUGAUGGAAUCUAUUGAACGUGGAUGGUCCACUCAGAGGGGUGGACGCCGCAUGGGUAUAGUAGAUAAAAUUCAUAAUUGUUGACAUGAAAUUUCUGUUUGGAAAAAGGAAAAUCCACCUUAUGGGAAGGAAAAAAUAAAUACUCUUCAGAGGGCUCUGGAGGAUGAUCAAAGCGAUUUGACAAAAUCUCUUGAAGUAGUGAUUGAGGUGUCCAGGAAACUAAAAGAGGCAUAUCGAGAUGAAAAAUUAUAGUGGGAACAGAAGAGUAGAACUUUGUGGCAUACAUGUGGAGAUAGAAAUACUAAAGUAUAUCAUGCUUUAACCAAACAAAGACGCAUACAAAACAUGAUUAUUGGUUUAUAUAACGAGGAUGGGGAUUGGAUUAAUUCAGAAGGUGAUAUGGAAAGUGUGUCGCUUAAAUAUUUCAAUGAUCUGUUCCAGUCUACCCCGCCUUCAGAGUUUGAUAGGUUUCUAGAGGAAGUUCCAACUUGGUAACAACUGCUCAAAAUAAUAGACUAACGGCUCAUGCUUCAAAGGAGGAAGUUAGGACGUCAUUAUUUAUGAUGCACCCGGAGAAAG